RNAcentral lists this ribosomal RNA (254 nucleotides) under uncultured bacterium. RNAcentral describes it as "partial 16S ribosomal RNA". It matches the Rfam family "Bacterial small subunit ribosomal RNA", at positions 524 to 777 of the family's 1533-position model. The record is from RNAcentral.
UACGUAGGGUGCAAGCGUUAAUCGGAAUUACUGGGCGUAAAGCGCGUGUAGGCGGCCAUCUAAGUCGGGCGUGAAAUCCCACGGCUCAACCGUGGAAGUGCACUCGAAACUGGAUGGCUAGAGUCCUGGAGAGGAAGGUGGAAUGCUUGGUGUAGAGGUGAAAUUCGUAGAUAUCAAGCGGAACACCGGUGGCGAAGGCGGCCUUCUGGACAGUGACUGACGCUGAGACGCGAAAGCGUGGGGAGCAAACAGGG